This 104-nucleotide non-coding RNA is filed under the name Terasakiella magnetica. Its description in RNAcentral is "Candidatus Terasakiella magnetica Glycine". It matches the Rfam family "Glycine riboswitch aptamer". Rfam says of the family: This family represents the bacterial glycine riboswitch. The record is from RNAcentral. Lineage: Bacteria; Pseudomonadati; Pseudomonadota; Alphaproteobacteria; Rhodospirillales; Terasakiellaceae.
ACGAUCCCCGUGGGAGAGAUCGUCCCGGCCCCAGCGGGACCGGGACGGCGCCGAAGGAGCAACCGCCCCUGGAAACUCUCAGGCAAACGGACCGUGGGGUGGAC